RNAcentral lists this transfer RNA (83 nucleotides) under Phycisphaerae bacterium. RNAcentral's name for it is "tRNA-Leu". It matches the Rfam family "tRNA". From Rfam's summary of the family: Transfer RNA (tRNA) molecules are approximately 80 nucleotides in length. The record is from RNAcentral. Lineage: Bacteria; Pseudomonadati; Planctomycetota; Phycisphaerae.
CCGGGCGUGGCGAAAAGGCAGACGCAGGGGACUUAAAAUCCCCUUCCCGAAAGGGAGUGCGGGUUCGAGUCCCGCCGCCCGGA